RNAcentral lists this unclassified non-coding RNA (377 nucleotides) under uncultured Simkaniaceae bacterium. RNAcentral describes it as "contains 16S-23S intergenic spacer region". Lineage: Bacteria; Pseudomonadati; Chlamydiota; Chlamydiia; Parachlamydiales; Simkaniaceae. The record is from RNAcentral.
UCCUAGUUAACCUAGGCAGUCUCAUUAGAGUCCCCACCUUACGUGUUGGCAACUAAUGAUAAGGGUUGCGCUCGUUGCGGGACUUAACCCAACACCUCACGGCACGAGCUGACGACAGCCAUGCAGCACCUAUACAUAAGUCCUUGCGGAAAAUACCAUUUCUGGUAUCGCCCUAUGCAUUUCGAGCCCAGGUAAGGUUCUUCGCGUUGCAUCGAAUUAAACCACAUGCUCCACUGCUUGUGCGGGCCCCCGUCAAUUCUUUUGAGUUUCACCCUUGCGAGCGUACUCCUCAGGCGGUUUACUUAUCGCGUUAGCUACGACACAGUCAGGGUUGAGCCUAACUACAUCAAGUAAACAUCGUUUACGGCAAGGACUAC